Molecule: unclassified non-coding RNA, 1240 nt
Filed under: Hevea brasiliensis (rubber tree)
Lineage: Eukaryota; Viridiplantae; Streptophyta; Magnoliopsida; Malpighiales; Euphorbiaceae
Source: RNAcentral
AUAUUUAAAGUGAUUACUUUGGGAAAGUUAAAAGCAACGAGCAAAAAUAGGUGGUAUGGUGCAAUUGCUAUGGACGUGGAAGUGUGGGAACGUAGAGAUCUAGAGUGUUUUUGUGGAACUUAUAAAAGGAUAGGAACUGCAAACAACAAAUUUGACAACAUCAAGCAACACAACAAAUGAACUCAAAUACAAUGUCCUUUCAAAUCUCAAGUUUAUAUAAAUUCUAGUCAAUUUUCUUUUUGUUCUAGUAUAGCAAUUUCAAUUUUAGAGUCUUGUAUUUCUAUUUCCAGUAUUUAUUACAAAAUCAAACAAAAGUCCAUUUACAUUUCAGUACAUACAAGCAUUCUUAAUUUUUUGCAAUUUGUUUUCGAUUUCAUGAUGGCAAAACUGUGUUCAGUCUAAUCAGUUUCCCAUCGUUUGAUUUGUAGAUGUCAGUUUUAACGCAUCUUUAGUUGAUAUAUCUAGUGUCUAGCACACCGCCAGCCGGUUGUUUUUAAGCAAAAACUAUGUACUAGCUCUUAUCAGGCAGAUGUAAGGUGUUAAAAUUAAGCAACCACCCAAACAUGAUGCACGACUAUUAUGCCAAGUAAGGGAAAGAACUUUACCUACAUUGCUCCAGCUGGAGGGAAAGCACUUACUAACAUGUUAAGUAAUUUUUUCUGUUCUUUUAGUCUCGGAGUGUUUUUAGCAUAUACAUAUGAAGAUUAGAUUCAAAGCCUACUUCAAGCUUCCAAGUUAUUUAAGUUAUGGAUAAUGAGAAAUAUAUCUUAAAAAGCAGUUGCUCUUUUGAACUUCAUCAAUAAUUUAAAUUAUUUUGAAGAAGCAUUUUCUAGAUCUUUUUGAGAAGGUGAUUUUAACACGCUUCAUUCAUGCCUCUAAAUUGGGUAUUUGAAUAACAAGCUGCCCGAUGGUUUUUGGUUAACACAGGGAAUGGGCAUUGUUGUUAGAAUUGCUGCCAUGACCACUGAAUCAGUGUACAAGUUCUUACGGCAGCAGCUGGCUAGUAUGGAGCUCCUAAUUGGGGUUUUACCAUAUCGAUGAUCAAGCCUGUUGAUCGUUUUCUGUCACAGUUUACAGGGAUGUUCCAUAACUCAGUGGACCUUUGAAUGAUAGUGUUAGUGAAUUUGUAUGCAUUUUACUUUGUUUAGAGAUGGUGACAUUGUCGUGCUUUUGUUACCUAAGACUGCUGACUCCAUUUGUUUUACGAAAAAUAACUUAUAUAUGAAAAAUAUUUUUUAUG